AUGGAAAGUGCCUGGUACCUGGGAUUUUUGAUCCCAGGGAACCUCAUUUGCAGAGCAGUGGAUCACACAGAUCCUGAACUCAAUGAAUGGUCAUAUCUUUCCCUAAGUUUAUGUUCAUUCUGUCCUCUGAGAUUAUCUUUGAAGCCUCGUUAUGUAGAUGUCUGUAAAAAUCCUUCAAGCUAUGGACAGCCAAGGUCAGAGGCAUAUUUUGUCAUAAGUGGCUAUUUCUAAACUCAGGUUUGAGAUAUAUAAAGAUAAACCAGAUUCCUUUAUGUUAAUUUCCUUCCAGUUCUGCCAUCUAAGGACCCUGCCCUUUCCCAAAAGUGUAUCUUGAGAAGGAAAAUAUGGCUGCUCUCUGCCAGACAGCAGAGUCCCAGGUGAGUUGGGGAUUUUCCUCUCUUCUCGGAAAUCUUAUUUUAAUUCCUGAAGCAAAUUUCUUUCUCUUAGUGUGAAGCUUGUCGAUUUCAUUAGCCAUAGCAGUUUGAAAGGAAAGGAUCAAGUGGUGGGAUGGACUGCCAACAAGAUGGUGUUUGGGGGUUCCACAGUUGUAUGGAAGUAGCAG
RNAcentral lists this long non-coding RNA (562 nucleotides) under Aotus nancymaae (Ma's night monkey). RNAcentral's name for it is "lncRNA (ENSANAG00000039162.1)". The record is from RNAcentral. Lineage: Eukaryota; Metazoa; Chordata; Mammalia; Primates; Aotidae.